GACAGAGGGGGCAAGCGUUGCUCGGAAUCACUGGGCGUAAAGGGCGCGUAGGCGGGAUGGCAAGUCGGUCGUGAAAUCCUUCGGCCCAACCGAAGAACGUCGGCCGAUACUGCCGUUCUUGAGGGAUGCAGAGGAGACUGGAAUUCCCGGUGUAGCGGUGAAAUGUGUAGAGAUCGGGAGGAACACCGGUGGCGAAGGCGGGUCUCUGGGACGGUACUGACGCUGAGACGCGAAAGCGUGGGGAGCGAACAGG
RNAcentral lists this ribosomal RNA (253 nucleotides) under uncultured bacterium. RNAcentral describes it as "partial 16S ribosomal RNA". It matches the Rfam family "Bacterial small subunit ribosomal RNA", at positions 524 to 776 of the family's 1533-position model. The record is from RNAcentral.